This 71-nucleotide transfer RNA is filed under the name Clathrina clathrus. RNAcentral describes it as "tRNA-Ile". It matches the Rfam family "tRNA". Rfam says of the family: Transfer RNA (tRNA) molecules are approximately 80 nucleotides in length. Their secondary structure includes four short double-helical elements and three loops (D, anti-codon, and T loops). Further hydrogen bonds mediate the characteristic L-shaped molecular structure. tRNAs have two regions of fundamental functional importance: the anti-codon, which is responsible for specific mRNA codon recognition, and the 3' end, to which the tRNAs corresponding amino acid is attached (by aminoacyl-tRNA synthetases). tRNAs cope with the degeneracy of the genetic code in two manners: having more than one tRNA (with a specific anti-codon) for a particular amino acid; and 'wobble' base-pairing, i.e. permitting non-standard base-pairing at the 3rd anti-codon position. The record is from RNAcentral. Lineage: Eukaryota; Metazoa; Porifera; Calcarea; Clathrinida; Clathrinidae.
ACCUCUUUAGUUCAGAGGUAGAACGUCAUACUGAUAAUAUGGAGUCUUAGGUUCAAUUCCUGAAUUGGUAA